AAAUAAAAAUCGAUGUCGUUGUCACCGUGAUAACGCGUCGGAACUGAGUCGUCUUUCCUUCGGUUAAGUGACUUAAAAUUUUUACGCGAAUUCGAAACGUAUUUAACGUUUUAUGGUACGUUUGCGAUAUUCCAAUAUAUUAGGUGCGGUCAUUCUUAUGAUUCGCGUCUAUAAUUUUUCAUU
RNAcentral lists this unclassified non-coding RNA (183 nucleotides) under uncultured Glomeraceae. Its description in RNAcentral is "sequence contains ITS2". Lineage: Eukaryota; Fungi; Glomeromycota; Glomeromycetes; Glomerales; Glomeraceae. The record is from RNAcentral.